Molecule: long non-coding RNA, 276 nt
Filed under: Ananas comosus (pineapple)
Lineage: Eukaryota; Viridiplantae; Streptophyta; Magnoliopsida; Poales; Bromeliaceae
Description: long non-coding RNA (ACOM_LNC009476)
Source: RNAcentral
ACCGCCCAACACUGCUCGUCAGUCUGGACUGUUAGCUUAAAUCGACCAGCAUCCUGUUUUGUAGUGGUAAGCCGAGUGGACUAAAUCACGUUCGAAAUUGCAUGAGGCCUGGUUGGGCUGAGUCAUGUUUGAAGUAGCGUGAGGCUGGAUGGGCCGAGUCACAAUCGAGAUCUAUAGCCGCUGUGUAUACACGUUUUAAGUGGAUUAGUUGCAUAUUUCUAAUAAGUCGAGCUUUUGAGAUCAUUGGUUAGCGCCAACGAUCAAACGUGAACCAGA